UUUUUUUUUUUUUUUUUUUUUUUGUGGACUACCGCUUCAACUUUAUGCAUGGUUUCUUCCACAAUCAUAAUGACACCCUCAAAUUCUACCUGAUUUUUCAAUCAUGCCUCCCUCAAUUACUCCUGAAAGAUGGUGCAUAUUACUACUAGUAUUUUUUACCAUCACCAUUUUCAAAAAGAUUCCUGUUCUUUUUUUUUUUUAAAGUCAAAACACUUACAAGACAAAUUGGGACAAAUUUACAACAUGUAAUCAUUAGCAAGACUUUUAAAUUCUUCUCAUAUCUGCAGUUUAAAUUCUUUUCACAGAAGUCUCAAGUGUUGCAGAUGCGUUUCUUUGUCCUCUUCUUUACCACAGCUUUCUCCAUGUGAAAGAAAAGGCUAAAUGCGUUGAAAGUUUCAUGGACAUGGACCAUCAACAACUUUGCAAAAAUUGAUUCUUUUCUUCCUCAAAACAACUGGCAAAUUCACCAAGCACGCCAUCACUCCAAAAACUUUCUAACCAAACAAGUAUGGAGAAAAACAACUGGCAAUUCACCAUCGGAAUAAAGAAGUCCCAAAAAGUUUGUGUCCCAAAAAUUAAUGCCCUGAUCUAUCCAGUCUCAGGAGCAUAUGGGGUCCCAAUAUUUCCUUUACCAAACUCGAAUUCCAUCUUAAAGCGCCUUGACGGCAGUCACAUUCGGAAACCAAACAUUAUCAAUUUAAGGAAGAAAUCAAGAAAGUGACAAUAGCCACGAAGGCGGAUGGCAAUUGAAUUCAAAUCAAGUGUUGAAAAAUUGCGAUGUGAACUAUAAAAAUAUUAGGUGCGACGUGCCCAUUAUGUGGUAAUAUUACGUGAUGCACUAGUAUUAAUAAAAAUUCAUAGCAUUAACCUGUCUGAAAAACACUUACGAUUAUUAUUUGAUGACAGAUGAUUAGUUUUAGUGCACCACACGUGAGCUAGCGAGUAUGGUCUUAGUAAUAGCCUCUCCGUCAAUCAUACUAGCUUAGCUGAGGACAUGGUACAGUACGAGCAGAAUGGAGAAGAAAAUGGUUGUUUGACGGAGUGCAAGUGACAAAAUUUGGGGCAGAAAUAACAGAAGGGAAGUGUAGUCAUGAACAUCUAUCACUUCACCUUCCAAAAAGCUAGGACAGAGACAGGAGAGAGGUGAUGCAUGCACCAAAUCAAGUCAUCAUUCAACCAAUUCAACAGGAAAGGUUGCUCAAAAUCUUGAAAACCUUAGGCGGUGAACCAUCAAGAGACAAGACGCGUGAAGAAAGAAACAUGGCUGGAGAUUAGGACUAAAACUUACCAGAAAUGCAAUUUCAGAAAGCCCCUCUUUCCUUAUCAGACUGUACCUAGCCUUCGGCACCCAAGAGUGAAUCAUGCAACCCAAUGAUGCCCACAUGUUGAAACUCAAUGAAUCGCCAACAAACAUGAUGUUCUUCCCCCUCCAUUUCUCCAAGAAAUACAGCCCAUUAAACCUGCAAAAAAAAAGUAGCAGAGUUGGAACUCCAAUCCCAGACCAGAAGAGAAUUCAAGAAACCAAAGUUGAGAUUGAAGAGUUCUGAGGAGCACUCAUGGAGUUUGUACCUUGGGAUGUUACAUGAAAAUGGCUGCCACCUGUAUUUGAGGUACAACUUGUCAGGCCUCUUGUAGAGGAGACAGUUGAAUUCUGUAUCAAUGAAGGGACAUGAUGCAUAAUCAUAAAGGGGAUAUUGAGCAUCAUAUACCCAUUUGCCUCUGAAAAUGUUGCAACCAGUGGCUAGCAUUGUGGCUCCAAUUGAACUAGUGGUACUAAUAUUGGCAGCAUUCAAGAAAUUCUCGAUUUCAUCAUCAGCUUUUGCUGUUUGGCAUGAACAAAGAAAGAGUAAAAGUACUGAAGGGAUGAACAGAAAUCUCAUCUUGGAUUUCUAGCCCAGCAGAUUUGUCGGAGCUAAAUAACGAGGUUUUGAGGUAAAGUUUGUCGUUAAGAAAUGUGUUUCAUAUACUAUAUAGUGUACAACAUUAUAUACUAAUAUUGUGCGAGACUUGUGGACUCUGGUUAGAAAGAGAGAGAGGGAGAGAGAAUGAUGAGAAAGUAUUCCCAGUUGCACAUGCCCUUGAAAAUUAGAUGAACCCCACCUCCCCCAGGCGCCAACAAACAAGUGUCUCUUUUUUUAAAUAUAUAUAUCCAUUUGUGAAUUGUGAAUUUCUACAAGAAGAAUUAAAAAAAAAAUUGUGAUUAAUCUGAUCUUGUUUGGGCUAUAUGCUGGACUUUAGCCUGUGGGGUUGGUAAUUUUUUUUUCUUUUUUUUUUUUGUUGCAUUUGAAAUAUUUUGAAACCUCAUUUGAGUGUUCUUUUUCUUUAAAGAAAAGGAUGGCCUUUUUUAUAAAGUUCUCUUUGUGUACUUUUCUUGUGUUUGGUAGGUGAUUCUAAAACUUUUGGUAAAGGUGGCAAUAAACAUUAUUAUUAAUUGCAUAUGCUAAGGUUAAUUGUCUCUAGCAUCAUUAUUAAUUAAGCUGCACAUUUUGUUAAUGACUUCCACUCGCAGCUGCCUCUCUUUCUCUUCUACACUACUAACAUGCGAGAGUUUAUCAAAACCAUGGGCUAUAUAUAAUACAUAGUAUUAGAUUCUGUUUCCUUCUCUUUCUCACAUUUGCUCUUAUUAACUACAAGUGGCUUAAGCAUUAUUUUUCCUUUUUAAACAUUUUAGGAAAUGAAAUUUUUUGAACAAACUUGGAUUGACCUAAACUACGGUCAAUUUCUAGUGCUGAUUUAGGUAAUGUUUGGAUUGUAAUUUUUUGGAGUUUCUAUAGAAAAUGUAUGGUAACGAUUUGAUAUAUGUGAAGUAAAAAGACGAUCAGAAAACGUAUUUACGAAAAAUGUAGAGAUUUUUUAGUGAAAAAUUCCUUUCUAAACAAGCCCUUAGACUUUUGUAAAAACUUCAAGAAAUCAAAUGGAGGCCAUAAUUCAAUUUGUUUCUUUUGUUAAAAUCAAGUUCCUAGGAUAACUAGUGAACAGAUAAAUCACAUGUAAGAAAAGCUCGACAUUUUUUUCAACGGUGAGAAUUUAAUCUUAGUCUAUUUUACUCUUUGAUCCAUCCUAGAAAUUGAAUAAUUACACGCACAUUUCCUCUAACGCUUUUGUAUCAUUGAACUAACCCACAUAAUAUAGAAAAUAAAAAUAAACAAAAUCAUGAGUUUAAAGAGUUGUUGUGGGAAAUUAAAAUUUAAGUCUAGAACUAGACGAGGUGUCUUUGUAAUUACGACAAAGCUCAAGGGUGGACGGUAGUGUUAACAAAAUUCCUGCCGUGCUCGUGCUUCUUCUUCUUUCUUUAUCAUAUUGUUAGAACUUUCCGCGUGAAUUUUCUUUGCUACCAUAAUCACAUUCGUCCAAUUAAAGUAGUGGAGGACACCAGUGACUGUUGAUUGAGACCAGGCCGCACCACAUAUUAUUUGAGUCUGAUAAUACUUUAUUUACAUGGCAAGAUAAAGAGAACAAAAUGAAAUUGAUGCCUUGGAAGAUUGAAGAUUCAGCAAUUGAGACUUGCUGACUUUUAUCUUAUUAAAGUUACAAUCAAUCCAACAUCAUGGAACCAUCCUCAAUCCUUUCUUUUCAAUUUUUUUUUUGUCUUUUCUUUUUAAUUUAAUCACUCUACUAGAAGUCUGAAUUGGUAUUGUGUUUACAAUAUUGUUGUCAUUAAUUAAGUAAGAGUACUUGUAAGGUGGAUGGAAUUAAUUGGACAAAAGAGCUGAUAUGACAAUUUAGGGAUGAUAGUUUCUUUCUGCCAUGUAUCCAAUAGUUAUUUGCUUAGCCAUCACUCUUUAUCUCCGAAGCAACCAUCCUGCUAUGUGCUCGACACUUGUGAACUUUAAUAACUCGAAGGCUUAUGAUUGGAAAUUAUUGUGUUUUUGGUUACGUACUCUGGUUAUUUUCUUGCGAAAAUGGAUAAAAAUGAUGAAGUGGCACAACACCUGUAAAAUGUAGUAUUCAGCUAAUUAAUUCAUGGAGGGGACUGUUUUCAGGCACCGUUUUGGAUUGAGGGAUAGGGGUUCAUUUGUGAUUAUUAUUUGGACAAGAAUUCUAUUAUUUUUUAAUAGAGGAAACUUUCUGGCUAGUGAGGGCAACGGGGUGGAAUUGGGGCCCGCCCCCACUUCCCCCUCUUCUUCUGUGAGGUUAAUAAAAAUUUGUUAUAUAAUUUUAUUAUAAUUAAAUUCUAGCAAAUAAUUAAGUAGUAAAAUAUGAAUACAUCAUCAAAUCAUUAUCCGUUGUAAUUUUAUAAUUAAAAUUCAUAAAAAUAAUCAAACAAAAACUAUUUGAAUAUAAUCUAACAUGAUGAAACAAAUACAACUACAGUAGUCAAGUUUUCACUUUUGAAAAAAAUACAAUCACUAACUUAUUAUUGUAUUUUUUUGAAAAAAAAUUGUUAUUGUGUUAAGUGUAAUUGAGGAUUUAGUGUAAAUGUAUUAGUAAAUUUAAUAUAACUAAUUAAUAAUUUCUAUUAGUAGACAUGUAUAAUUAUUAGUAUAAUUGAUAAUAUCAAUUAUAUUACAUAUGCUUAUAUAUAUAUAUUAUAUAAUACUUAUAACUAAUAAUAUCAUUAUUAUAAGUUUGAAACUAAUUAAAUUAAAUGCUAUAUAUAUACAUAUAAAUAUAUAUAUAUAUAUAUAUAUAUUAACGGGUGGCGGGGCAGGGGUCCUUAACGGGGGAAAAUCCCCCCGCCCCAACCCCCAUCCCCUUAUCCCCCAUGGCGCGCAUCUGUCCCAAUUGCCGUUCCUAUUUUUGGGAGGCCCUGAACUAUUCACUUUACAUGGUUUUGGUCCCUAAAUUACAAGUUAUCACAAAUAAACCCAUAAACAAAAAAAAUGCUUAGUUUAAGGAUUUCCGUCAAAUUUGAGUGUUAAAUGUAACGGAGCUAGGGGCAAAACCAAUCAAAAAGAAAAACCAACCCAUGAUUUGAUUAAAAACCUACUAUAUUAAGCCAACUGAUAACGUGAAAUUUAAUGGUUUAUCAUCUUCUUUCAUCUUUCACCUUUUCUAGCCUUAAUUUGAUGAAAUAAUCAGUUACUAGACUUUUUAGACUAUUUUGUGGGUUUUUUUUUUUUGGUUGGUUUUGUUCCUAAUUCGGUCACAUCUAAUGGCCAAAAUUAAUGAAAAUCCUUAAACUAAGCAUUUUUUUUUGUUAAGGACUUAUUUGUGACAAUUUAUAGUUGAAAGGCAAAAACCAUGCAAAGACAAUAGAUUAGGGACUGUCCGAAAAACUUCCUCUUUUUAAUAUGUUUUCCAACCAUCUUAUAUUUUGUAUACAUCACUGUCAUUACAGCACAAAAGUGUCAUAAUAAACAAUACCAAAAAAUUUCCCAAAUGGCUUGCAACCCAUACAUAAUAUAACAAGGAGCAGUCGUAGACAGAACGUAAUGGUGGUACCUUUUGAUUUUGAAUUUUGGGCAAAUUUCUAAGUGUCAAUAAGGGUGUCUUUGGGGCUGUCAAGUAACAGUUGAAAAUCAAGAAAUGAGUACCUAAUAGAGUAUAAAAUUGAUUGGUUUUCGACAUUACAGAAUUCAAUUCAGGAGUCUUUGAGUUUUGACAUGAUGAAAAUUGAAGAAGGGGCUCAUGUUGUAGGGUCUGCCGUUUGUCCCAAGAAUCGAUCUUCUCCACACAAAAAUGAAAACACAGCAAUAGCCAUAUGCAUGGCGGCAUUCCUCCAUACUUCUCUUUCAGCGUUAGUCAAUCCCACGUAAUAAUUCAUAGUGCCACCAAAGCCGCCUCCCCACCACUUCUUGCUCUUGGUGCUAACACCCUUGCACACACGCAUGGUGGGCAAUGGCGCACACAAUACAUAUACAUAUAUAUAUAUAUAUAUAUAUAUAUAUAUAUAUAUAUAUAUAUAUAUAUAACAAUAUUUGGGGGAAUUAUUUGAGGUGGAUUUUAAAAUAAAAUGCUAGUUAAAUAUUACUUGUUCUGAAAUUUUUAUAGAAAGGAAAGUGCAAAAAGAGGAAAGAUGUAGGGAGAAGCGAAAGGGACUAAAAAUGGUGUGACUCGGACUUUUGUUCUAUGGCAACUAUGGAAAACCUUUAGUCUAGGAUAAUUUUUUAAUGUAAAUCGCUGCACUUGAUUUUCAAUAAGAAACACUUCUUAAUCUAUACGUUAAUUUAGAGGCUUUCUUAAAGAACAAAUAAAAUGAAUUCCAAUCAUUCAAUUGGUGGCCCCAAAAUGGUACUUUUUUUUUGGAAUAAAGGAGUCUUGUAACAUUGAUUAGUUACUUAUGAAUUGUGGGGGAUGGGGUCAAGUUUAGAACUAUAUGGAAACAGCCACACUGUCUAGUAGUUUUUUUGUAUAGUGCUUCACAUGUGGGUUGGUCACUAAGAUAAGACUAUCAACUUGUGAGUUGUGAGGCCUGAAAAAAAAGAACUCUUUUUGUAUGGAGAUCUUGAUCAGGGAAAUGAGGAACAGAAUCCACUUGGGGGUUUGCCCAAAAUGAAGAUUUCCACCCAAAUUUAAGUUUGGCCAGAGUACCAAAGAUCACGUUAAUGUAAUCUACAAUUAUAGAGAAGUCACGAAGCUUUUAGAACUAGGUUAACCUCUCCAAUCCACUUUUGAAGUUAUAGAUCAUGUUUUGGUAUAUAUCAAUUAGUCAAUAACAUUAUUGUCAAGCCUAAUCUUGCAUGCAAAAUCUAUCAACAACAAAUACAAUGCUCAAUCAUUGAAAGGUUAGUACAAUACCGAAAAAAAAUAAUUAAGGCCAAAUUAAUCCAAAUAUUUCAUAAUUUCUCAAAUUAAUCCAAAAGGAAAUGGUGCAUGUCUCAAAUUCAAGGCUAAAGAACUAGAUAUUUUGCUCUUAGACCUACCAAGUAACAGCUUUGUUAGGAUUGCAUUUUUCUAGAUUUUUUCGUAGAAAAAUUACUGUAAUGAUUUGAUUUAUGUGAGGUAAAAAGGUGAUUGUGAAAUGUGUUCAUGGAAAACAUAGCAAUCUUUCUUUGAAAAAUUACUGUCCAAACAAGGCUAACUUGGUAAGCCUAAGAGCAAAAUAUCUAGUUCUUUAGAACUUGAAUUUGAGACAUGCACCAUUUCUUUUUUACUGUCUACGAUUUAUUUAAAGCUUUUGUCACAUUUGAAUGGUGAUGACAGAUAUUGCUUCUAAAGCAAGUAGGGCAACUUUGGCCACAUGUAAUUUGUAACAUUCAUUUGUUGUCUUCUUGCAACGUCAAGUCAUCCAGCCAUCUUGAUCGUAAUUGAUAGCACCCUCUAACAUAGUGGAUUGGCUAAAACAAGAAAUCUUGACUGCAAUUGAUAGCAUCCUAUAAUAAACGUACCAAACUUACUUUACCAAGUAACGAAUUGGGUGUUUUAGAAGCCAAAAGGAUAAUGGAUUAGGUUCCAAGAAUCACUUUUUUAUCUCUAUUUUGUCCCCUCUCACCCUUACUUUCUAUCCUCUCCCUAUUGAAGUUUUUUAACUACUUUUUUGGUUAUACAUGGAGGACUACAGUAAAGAAUGAGAGGGGAACGCUAAGAGCCCAUUUAAAUUACUAUUUUUUUUAAUUUUUAUAAAAAAUGUACCGUAACAAUUUAAUAUUUAUAAAGUAAAAAAAAUAAUUAAAAAGUAUAAAAGUUCUGACCUAAUUCUGACCCGCAACACGACUAAAACGACCCUGAAUACAACCAGUCCAGAAUCUGAAUGAAGCUACUUCUUGUUUUGUUUAUCUGUGCCAAAGAAGGAAAAAAUCUCAUUACGUCUCGAUUGUGUCCCUUUUUUGUACUAAAAAAUCGUUUGCUAAAAAUGUUUCCACAAAGCUUUCGGGGGUGGGGUAUACUAUGCAACCUAGGGUUGUCUAGGUCACAAGCUUUUCUUCUUUUUCAUUGUCUCUGUGUAAAAGUAAACAAGCUACUCCUUUUAAAUGGUAAAACGCUGGAAUGUAUAAAACAGGAAAUUUUCAAUAGCUUUUCUGUCCUGAAUAAUCUGGUUUAACAGUUAUCCUACCGUCCAACUUCUGUGAGGAGCUGGAUCCAACCUCAACUAGGAAUUUCUUUCCUGGAUCAGAAUGGCAUCCAACCAUCAUUUUCCCCCAGUUUCCUAAUGGAUAAAACAUAGUGGCGGCCUCAGUAUUCAUGAAACUUGAAUUGUAAAUAAAGAUUAAUAAAUUAACUGCAAAUUUACAGGCAGCCACAGACCAGACAAUCAAGGGAUUUACCAUUAGAAGCCAUUCAUUCAUUCAUUCAUUCAUAAAACUGGGUUUUCUGCAAAUCAUAUGAUAGUAAAGACCAUUAAAUGGAAGAUUUCCCCUUCUAUACAUAACUAACUUAAACCCUAUUAUACUCUUUUAAGGCGAAACAUCUCCGCUGGCCAUUAUUUACACUCUUUUAACACAUUGUCAGCUUCCAUUUGCUGCAGGUGGAAACCAAAUAGUACGAACUAAGGCAAUCUUAUUUACGGCAGCAGCACAUUUAGACAAGCUCCCACUCAGUUUCAGAACUAUGAACUGGAAAUGACUUGGUGUUAGACUCUGCAGGACGAUCGGUCAUUGCUCUCUCUGCACCCUCUUGAUUUGAGUUUUGCUCGGUGUAUCUCGCUGCAAGCUGCUCAUAUUCCUUCUUUUUUAACCUCAUCCUGGAGGAGAAAGCUUCGCGCAAUUUUUUCUACAAGAAGAAAUUUGUCCAGUCAGGGAAGAAAAGUUCACACAAGAAAUCCUUCAACUCUAACAGAUGAGAGAGAGAGAGAGAACCUUGUAGGAUUUGUGAUUGCCCUUCCCUUGAGGUAAAAAAUGAAGCUCAUCCCCCUCCACCAAGACACAUGUUUCCCCUAAUUUUGACUCAUCAAACGGCUCAAUAAUUUCCACAUCCGGGUCCACAGUAUCAUCAUUCUUGGCUGCAUUUACACUAUAGUCAUCCAAUCUUUCUGUCAAGCAUAGAGAAAGAACAAUAUUAGCAAAAGCAGAGACCUACUGAGGAAGAGGCAGGAAAGUCACUGGUACAUAAAUUUGGUGCCUAGGUUGCGUCAGCCCAUACUGUGCUUGGACAAGAUUUUUUUUUAUUGUAUCAUAAACACGUCUUCCAAUUACUUUGUUUAUAUCAAAUCACAAAAAGUGCUACAGUUAUCCUAAAAUUUUUUUCAUGAUCUUGCCUAUCCAAUUUUCUGGGGGAGAGAGAGAUAGAGAUCAUGAGAUUAUAUGAUUGUUUGUCGUGAAAAAUUUUCAGCCAAAAUGCACAAUAUAGCAGGAGUCCAAGUUCAGUCUCCACGUUGAGAAGACAACAGGUAAUCCCAUCUAGUAAUGCCAUAAUUGACUUCACUUUAGGUAAAAAUUGAUGCACUUCAUCUCACUUUGCCUAGAUGCAAGUCCUAGAAUGACUUAUAGAAAUGAUCCUCUCACACAAAGUUUAACCCUUUUCUGGACGCAAUAGACCGAGACCUUUAAUGAUUGAAUUACAUUCCAUCACUUGGAACUCGACUUUCCAAUAACUUAGCCAUAAGAAAGGUUGGAAUACAAUUUGGUUUUAUUAAUACCUUGGUGGGCCAUGAAGACCUCCUCCUCAACAGAUUUUAUGCUGUCUGUUCCAGUUGCAAUUGUCUUCUGAGUCUGGGAAACCACUGUGCUGUUUGUACAUGUGCCUACAGCUAAAGCAGCAGUUAGGGUGCGUCAAAUGCAGAAAUCAUAAUGAAAUAAGUGAAAGGACAAAACUGAAUCCAGUUUUAGAUGAUACCAGAGGACUCUGAUGAUAAGCCAUCAGAAGGAGAAUCAGCUUGCUUCUGCUCAGCUGAUACAACUGACACAAUUGUUUUAGCAGCGGUAGCUGGUGAAUUAAAUGAAGCACGAGACAUAGGCAGACUGGUAUCAUCCAUAGGUUUACAAAGCUUCUCAUUUGCAAUUCUGGAGCGUUCUUCAGCGCCAGCUGGUGGCGAUAAGACAUCAACACAGCCAGAGGCCAUUUGACAACUCUUUUUCAUUUGAGAAAAUGAGGACAGGUUUCUUAAAUUCUCUGAAAAUGGUGCAACUGGCCCAGUCACAGGUGGCAUAAAAUUUACCAUAGAAUUGCUUUUCCUACUGGCUACCGGACGUCUGUAAAGUCCGGUUUUACUUUUACCUGUAUGCACCAAGAGUAAGAGCUAUAACUUUCACCGUGAUGGAAAAGAAUGAAAAGAACCCUAUUCCGCCAAAAUUUUGAAAAAGAACAGAAAGUUCAAAUCUUUACCAGAAAUUACUUUAGACUCAUCACUUAAUUUCCAAUUGGUAUCUCUACCAUCUUUUUUAGCAUUUGCUUUCAGUAUCAUUUUGGAGUGAGCAUAAGGAUUCAAUGACAAGUCAGCAGCAGCCACUUUCACAGGAUCAACAUAUGAAUCUGAGUGCAAAUCUUUCAUCACUUCUGAAUAGAACCUCUUAACACUAGCACCAACAGUCUGGACCUGAUUUUCAACAUAUUUGACAGCAUCCUGUCAAAAAUUAAACCACUUAAAAUAAAAACACCCACACUUUGAGACUACAUACACUUAGAUUCGAUAAGACCUCCCAAGGCAAAGCACGCAUAGCACAUUAUUAGAUAAUCAAAUCAGUAAUUUUGUCUGUGAAAACCACCACUAACCAACUUCAUAAUGUAUCACCAAAAGCAAAGAUAAGAACAUAAGUGGCACCAGAGAUUACUUUAGAAUAGAAAAGAUAACUUGUAUUCACCACAAGUAAGGGCAUCUACCUCAUACAUAACCUCUUCCAUCUCCAGACACAUAGCUUCAAACUUGUCAUAUAUGUUUCCAAUCCAUGCUAAACCUUUUAAGUCCAUCAUGCAGUUACUUCAGCACGUCAAGGCUUUAAUGCUCAGCUGCAAAAUUCAACAAAGGACUUUUGUAAGAUUUACAGCAAGAGCUUGCCUAAUAGCAAGAAGCCAUCGGGUACUAAGACACAGUUUAUUAAUUAUUAUAGCAGCAUCCAUUGCAAAUUUGCUACCAAGUGACAAAACAGUAUACAAGCUGAUCAUCAAAAUUGAGCAUAAUCAUUAUAGCAUAAUGAACUCAAUCAGUCAACAAUUUUAGCCCUCUGAGUCAUAGUUCCAGUAAAUGUUCUUUAGUCCUACAAUGUACAGUUCCCUGAUGCUCAAUAACAUAAGUAGAAGGGUUGCAAGAACAAACUAGGAACCAACAUUCUAGCUAAAAUGGGGUAGAAAAAGUCCACCAAAAUACAUUUCAGGCAGAGGGCUAGAAAGAUUCAUGCACAACAAAGGUAUGGAAUAAUAUCAAGGUUGGUUGAAUGUUUGUGAUAAAAAUUCUUAGUAGUUCAACCUGAUGCAUUGUUCUAAGCUGCAUAUUCACAAUCUACAUGUAAAGAGAAAUUAAAAUUUAGAAAAAAGAGUAAUUUCAUCUAAGCAAAUCCUCCAAAUAUCCAUCAGAAAUAUAUCAUCAAUAACAUAUAAUUCGAGCAGUAAACCAGAGGAAAGAAAAUUUUCAGGGAAAAAUAGUUUUGGUAAAUGGUUAGCUGAGACAUCAAAGGAAAGAUCCUACACAUACGAAGAAGGAUGCUAGAUUCCUAAUUCAUAUUGCAAAAGCCCUCUCCAACUCAUGCCUGUCAAUCUCAACAGCAGAGGGCCUCUAAGGUAAUUAUGAAUUAAGACCUUCAAAAGUCAAGCAUUUUUACUAACUUCAUAUAAUUCCCAAAAAGCAAACAGAAUAUAGAGAUUUUCACAGCAUUCAUGGUGCAGAUUUUUUUUUUUUUGCAGAGAAUAUGACUGAAAUCUUUGCAGAAGAAGAAAGCAUAAACCUAAACUGUAGAAUUUGCAGCCAAUCUUUGGCUAAUUUGAAUCAUUCAUAACAACUACAAUUUUAUAAGCUAGUACUUUCCAAUGCUAUCAAUAGUAGGCUUCAUCAAGCAUGACUAAACAUGGAAGCAUCAGAAUGAAGAGUUCAAUUAGUCAGCAUAAUUAACUAGGGUUUAUCUUACUGCUUUCAAUUGGAAAUAAGACAGCUAUUCCCGAGGAUCUGGAACUACUCUAGUUGUUGGAUGUUUUUCUAGAGAACAAGACAAUUAUAUUUAUUUGCACGACCCCCUAAGCCAAAAACCCUAUCCUCAAAUAGACCAACUCCACAUUGAUCUGUCAAUUUCAGGAUAGACAGACGUGCUUGAGCUUCACAAUCACCAGUUUAAAUAAGGAAUUGAAAAGAAAGAAACUAGAGAUCAAGUUCAUCACCCAGCAAACAGAAUGGCCUAAAGUUGAUUCGUCAGAUUCUACAUCUUAAACACUAAAUUCCUGUACACUGCCCCCAUAUCUAUAAAUCUAACUAGACAGGUACUCAAUCAAAUAAACGAAACUGCAGGAUAUGAUGGUAUGCACAUAAGAUAACAGUAAGCAAAAUGAGGCUUUCUUCCGGUGAUGCUGCAACCCAUGACAAAGAAGAAACCCCAUAACACAUUACUUUGGCGUAUAAAAUUGGAAAUUUGAUGUCGCCUUGCAUAACAAACCUUCACCUUCUAUUAGGAAAUAUUGUCAGAAAAUUCUUUCCCUAGAUUAGAAUAUACUACUACUUCUUUCCACAUACAAGGAAUAAUUUGAUGCUUUCCAUGUUUCAGAAAAAAGUCAAUCUUUAUGCUUUCCCAUAAUCAUGUUCGUCUAAACCACCCUUAAACCCAAAUCUCCCCCGAAACUAUUCCAAACCCAUCGAUUAAUUCAUCAAACACAAGCAAGCAAACAUCCUAAAGCCACAAAAACCAGACAAAGAAAAACCCACCAGACCACAAACUUAUCAGUCAUCACAUGAUCAUGGCCACUCUCUCCCCCAAACCAACACCCCCCCCCUUCACCUUCUUCGUCCCUAGCUUCCGAAACCAUCCAAAUUUACAAAACAAAAAAAGGUACAGGAACCACAUAGCAACAGCUAAACAGCAGCUUCGACACGAAAAAAAAAAACAAUUUUAUAGUCGUAAACUCAAAAUUUUUACCAGAAGAAAUUACAGAAACACAAAAAAAAAAAGGAUAACCUGAUCAGAAGUUAGAAAUACGAGUUCAAAAAAGGAAAAAGAAUCCAAAAAAGGACAUACACAUGCUAGAUAUUUUAGAAACAUGCGAUUAAAGAAAGUGGUGAUGAUGAAUAAAGUUAAAGCAGCACACUUACAUACUUGGGGAAUACAGGGAGGCCCAGAAAGGAAAAAAGUAAUCUUUCUCUCUCACUUCUUUUUUUUUUCGGAAGAUAAUUAGGAAAGAUAAGCCAAGAAAAAGGUUAAGUUUUUAGCUUUGAAGAAAGAGAUGAUAAAUUGAAGUAUUAGUAAUAGGUCGUAACUUGGAACAGAGGUAUCACUAACAUAAAAUAGGGUAAGAGAAAGAUAAGUUUAAUUGAGUAGGAGAAUUAGAAACGUAUAGGUGGAGCUCACCUGGUUUCCUUGGGUAUGGGUUCUUGACACGUGUAUUCCUAGAAUAUACUUAAAGGUAAAAUGCUACCAACCUAAAACAUCUAUAUAUAUAUAUAUAUAUUAUAGUAAAGACUAAAGAAGGGCGAAUUUAAGAAGCGAGGAGGAGUCAGGGGAUCAAAAUUUCUACAUUUUAUGGUUUCAAUUUGAGUCAUUAGACUAAAAAAUUUAAAUACCUAGUAAGUCAUUAUUCUAAAAAUAUUUGGGUUUCUUUUUAUUAAUAUAAAUGUCAGUAUUGUCUUUUUUGCAUACUAAUAUUGUGGAAAAGAAUAAAAUUACAAUACAUGUUGGCUUUCUUUUACUUUUUCUUGUUAAUUCAAGAGUAGUUGUUCUUUUUGGGGCUAAAUAAUAUUCAUGGAAUAAACAUGUUGUGUUAUUGUGUUUUUUUUUUUAGAGUGUAAUCUAUCCAAAAUUACAAUUUUUUUUAAUUUUUGACAAGAUUAGGAUUGUAUUGUUCUAUUUACAUAGAGCAUAUUUUAUCUUUCAAAAUAGUAGUGAAGUUACCUAUGAUGUUUAGUGGAAUCACAACUUCUUGCAACUAAUUCCAUCUCGAAUUCCUUAUUCCUAAGAGUUUUUGCAACAAAACUUAAGAAAUUAAGUGAAAAAUUGCUUUUGAAAGAAGCGAAUUUGACCCCAAGAAAAAAGCAAAAAAAAAAAAGAAGAAGGGAAUUUGACCCAAAUAAGUGUCCCUCAAAAUAUAAGAAUCAGAAUUCAUUGCCAAGAAAAUUCUGCUUAUAGCGAUGCCCACUUACAAAGGAUCAACUACAAGGUCCCUGAGUCCAUGAUGUGAGAACCCUCAAAGUCCAACUCACUUUCUUUAACUUUUUGCCCUGUCUAUUCAAGGGUUGGUAAAUUAUCGUCAAACCGAAGGUAAUACAGAUUACUUGUAAUUGUAGCCCUUGUAAGAUUUACACUUUUAAGCUUUGCCUAGGCUACCAAUAAAUUUGACAAGAAAAAAAAAAGGAACAAGAAGAAGAAGAAACUUAGAUGGCACCCAAGUCAAUAGGCCGACUAAUGAUGUGGAAAUAAUGAAUGCUUUUGUCCCUUGACCUAUUAUCCAGCUUCCACUACUGUUUUCUCGACUGCCACCAGAAGUUUGAAGAAUUUCAUUACAAUUUCCAUCCUCCUACAAGCAUAGCGUCAAUACAGUUUCCUGUCACUAAUUCUUGGCGAAAAUCCGUUUUCUUUCAUUUUCAACCUUUUGGACAAAAUCCAAUCUGGAAGAGAUAAAGAAACUAUGAUACUUGACGUUUUCAGAUGGAACGUAUCCAUGAGAAUUAUGUUUGGAUAAAAUUCGCCUAGCAAGAAUCUAAGGAUAAGAUAAUGAUAACCAAUCUUGUAGACUUCAAUUUCCAAGGGAUCAUAUUUAUCGGAAAAAAAAUGAUAAAUGCAAAUAUGAUACAGAAGAACAGAUGAAGCAAAACCAAGAAAUAUAUACGAGAAUACAUUCAACAGAAAAGAUCAAAUCCAAACUUAAGAGAAACAAAGUGGUAUUAUAUUUCAAUGUCAACCAGCAGCUUGAAAAUCCCCAAAGUCAUCAUCUGGAAUGUCUUGUGUGUUUUGGUCUUCUGGAGGUUCUAAUUCUUUAGAUUGUUCUUGAGGUGAGACAGAGUCCUCUGCUGCUGAAGAUUCCUUUAGACUG
This 14979-nucleotide long non-coding RNA is filed under the name Coffea arabica (coffee). RNAcentral describes it as "long non-coding RNA (CARA_LNC003564)". Lineage: Eukaryota; Viridiplantae; Streptophyta; Magnoliopsida; Gentianales; Rubiaceae. The record is from RNAcentral.